AGUGAACGCUGGCGGUAGGCCUAACACAUGCAAGUCGAACGGCAGCACAGUAAGAGCUUGCUCUUACGGGUGGCGCGUGGCGGACGAGUGAGGAAUACAUCGGAAUCUACUUUUUCGUGGGGGAUAACGUAGGGAAACUUACGCUAAUACCGCAUACGCCCUACGGGUGAAAGCAGGGGAUCUUCGGACCUUGCGCGAUUGAAUGAGCCGAUGUCGGAUUAGCUAGUUGGCGGGGUAAAGGCCCACCAAGGCGACGAUCCGUAGCUGGUCUGAGAGGAUGAUCAGCCACACUGGAACUGAGACACGGUCCAGACUCCUACGGGAGGCAGCAGUGGGGAAUAUUGGACAAUGGGCGCAAGCCUGAUCCAGCCAUACCGCGUGGGUGAAGAAGGCCUUCGGGUUGUAAAGCCCUUUUGUUGGGAAAGAAAAGCAGCAGGUUAAUACCCCGCUGUUCUGACGGUACCCAAAGAAUAAGCACCGGCUAACUUCGUG
RNAcentral lists this ribosomal RNA (492 nucleotides) under uncultured bacterium. RNAcentral describes it as "partial 16S ribosomal RNA". It matches the Rfam family "Bacterial small subunit ribosomal RNA", at positions 29 to 507 of the family's 1533-position model. The record is from RNAcentral.